This 497-nucleotide ribosomal RNA is filed under the name uncultured bacterium. Its description in RNAcentral is "partial 16S ribosomal RNA". It matches the Rfam family "Bacterial small subunit ribosomal RNA", at positions 28 to 507 of the family's 1533-position model. The record is from RNAcentral.
GAUGAACGCUGGCGGCGUGCCUAAUACAUGCAAGUCGAGCGAACGGACGAGAAGCUUGCUCCUCUGAUGUUAGCGGCGGACGGGUGAGUAACACGUGGAUAACCUACCUAUAAGACUGGGAUAACUUCGGGAAACCGGAGCUAAUACCGGAUAAUAUUUUGACCCGCAUGGUUCAAUAGUGAAAGACGGUCUUGCUGUCACUUAUAGAUGGAUCCGCGCUGCAUUAGCUAGUUGGUAAGGUAACGGCUUACCAAGGCAACGAUGCAUAGCCGACCUGAGAGGGUGAUCGGCCACACUGGAACGGAGACACGGUCCAAACCCCUACGGGAGGAAGCAGUAGGGAAUCUUCCGCAAUGGGCGAAAGCCUGACGGAGCAACGCGGCGUGAGUGAUGAAGGUCUUCGGAUCGUAAAACUCUGUUAUUAGGGAAGAACAUAUGUGUAAGUAACUGUGCACAUCUUGACGGUACCUAAUCAGAAAGCCACGGCUAACUACGUG